Molecule: ribosomal RNA, 1226 nt
Filed under: Lactobacillaceae bacterium
Lineage: Bacteria; Bacillati; Bacillota; Bacilli; Lactobacillales; Lactobacillaceae
Description: bacterial SSU rRNA
Rfam family: Bacterial small subunit ribosomal RNA
Source: RNAcentral
GGGGGAAGUAAUGGCUCCCCAAGGCGAUGAUCCGGAACCGAACUGAGAGGUUGAUCGGCCCCAUUGGGACUGAGGCCCGGCCCAAACUCCUUCGGGAGGCAGCAGUAGGGAAUCUUCCCCAAUGGACGCAAGUCUGAUGGAGCAACGCCGCGUGAGUGAAGAAGGCUUUCGGGUCGUAAAACUCUGUUGUUGGAGAAGAAUGGUCGGCAGAGUAACUGUUGUCGGCGUGACGGUAUCCAACCAGAAAGCCACGGCUAACUACGUGCCAGCAGCCGCGGUAAUACGUAGGUGGCAAGCGUUAUCCGGAUUUAUUGGGCGUAAAGCGAGCGCAGGCGGUUUUUUAAGUCUGAUGUGAAAGCCCUCGGCUUAACCGAGGAAGCGCAUCGGAAACUGGGAAACUUGAGUGCAGAAGAGGACAGUGGAACUCCAUGUGUAGCGGUGAAAUGCGUAGAUAUAUGGAAGAACACCAGUGGCGAAGGCGGCUGUCUGGUCUGUAACUGACGCUGAGGCUCGAAAGCAUGGGUAGCGAACAGGAUUAGAUACCCUGGUAGUCCAUGCCGUAAACGAUGAAUGCUAGGUGUUGGAGGGUUUCCGCCCUUCAGUGCCGCAGCUAACGCAUUAAGCAUUCCGCCUGGGGAGUACGACCGCAAGGUUGAAACUCAAAGGAAUUGACGGGGGCCCGCACAAGCGGUGGAGCAUGUGGUUUAAUUCGAAGCAACGCGAAGAACCUUACCAGGUCUUGACAUCUUUUGAUCACCUGAGAGAUCAGGUUUCCCCUUCGGGGGCAAAAUGACAGGUGGUGCAUGGUUGUCGUCAGCUCGUGUCGUGAGAUGUUGGGUUAAGUCCCGCAACGAGCGCAACCCUUAUGACUAGUUGCCAGCAUUUAGUUGGGCACUCUAGUAAGACUGCCGGUGACAAACCGGAGGAAGGUGGGGAUGACGUCAAAUCAUCAUGCCCCUUAUGACCUGGGCUACACACGUGCUACAAUGGAUGGUACAACGAGUUGCGAGACCGCGAGGUCAAGCUAAUCUCUUAAAGCCAUUCUCAGUUCGGACUGUAGGCUGCAACUCGCCUACACGAAGUCGGAAUCGCUAGUAAUCGCGGAUCAGCACGCCGCGGUGAAUACGUUCCCGGGCCUUGUACACACCGCCCGUCACACCAUGAGAGUUUGUAACACCCGAAGCCGGUGGCGUAACCCUUUAGGAGCGAGCCGUCUAACCGACGAA